UUAGAUCGUAGCAAGGCAAGAAACUUACAACUAAGUCUCUGGGAAUGAUUGUCUACGUACCCGCAUGAUCACUAGAAGUACAUGUCUCAGUAGCGGCACAUCAAUGCAGAAGUGUAACGUGAGUACGAAAAAUAAUUCGUAUCCAGUAAGUUUCUAGUUUAACCUCGAAGAAGUAAUGCUGAGAUGUCUAAUUGACACUUACUAGAGGUCAAAUAAUAACAAUAAGUGCAUAAAGAAGACAUGAUGAGUAUAAAACAACUAACAAUGAGGAAAUUGAGAGCAACUAAAACAAUACAAUCGGGAGCCCCUAUUACAUUCCCAACAUUUCAUAACUACAGUGAAGGCGCUAACUCAAUUAUUCCAAACUGGAAACCAUUUAGAUUAUUAAGCAUAAAGUUGUCGAGGUGAACAACCUGAUCCCAUAAGAGUGGUGUUAUCAUACAGCUGAGGUGCACGACUCAACCAUAUAACAAUAGUGUAAUCAUACUGUCGAUAUGAACGACCCAAUCCCAUAAGAGUGGUGUUAUCAUACUACUAUGGUAAAAUUUCCCGUUCUAAUAAGAGUGGUGUUAUCUUACUACCAAGGCGGUGAGAUGAGAUGACAUGGAUUUUGAUAAUUUAAGUAUUCAUAGUUUUUAAAAUAAUAAAUUGUAAUGACCCGACCAUUCAUUUUGAGAUCUAGCAUGUCAUUCGGCGGUUUGAGGCCUUCAUUAGCUUUACUUCAUGUAUCAUGACUUGUGCGCGUGGUGGGAAUUGAAUUUUGGAUAGCUCGGAGUUGAUUAGGAUGGAAAAUUCUCAAGUCAUAAGCAUUAAGUUGAAAGAGGUGACUAAGGUUUGGCAUUUCAGUAAACGAUCUUGAAAUUGGAAUUUGAAUGUUUCAGUAUGUUCGUAUGAUAAUUUAGGACUUUGGCGUAUGUCUUGAGUAUCGUGUAGCCCGGGAGCAUUUUGACGCUUAUUGUGGAAUAUUGAGAUUUUGAAAUUUUAGAAAUUCUUAAGUUUGACUUGAAGUGGACUUUGGAUUUAUCGAUGCUUUUUUGGGAUUACGAUCCUUAAAAUAGUUUGUUAUGUCAAUUGGGACUUGUCUUGAGGAUUUGGGUUCGUUCUGGAUUGAUU
This 1113-nucleotide long non-coding RNA is filed under the name Nicotiana benthamiana. Its description in RNAcentral is "long non-coding RNA (NBEN_LNC038808)". The record is from RNAcentral. Lineage: Eukaryota; Viridiplantae; Streptophyta; Magnoliopsida; Solanales; Solanaceae.